GCCAUAUGGAUGCCAUGUUAUGGGAGCCUGUCACCUGCUAACCGAGAUGAGAAAUUACAGGUUAUAAUCCCCUUCCUGCUGUCUGAGGAGCCCAGAAAUGAUGCAACUGAGUCACAGAGAAGUUAAGUAAUCUGCCUGCCGACACUCGGGUCGAUGCCGCCUCAUUCCAUCACUCGGGCAAUGGAGCCAAAGGCCACGUUCACAACCACUAGGCUGUCCCAGCCCCUUGCUUCAAAGAUAGCCAGGCAGGAGUUAUUUUAUAGAAUGGAAGUAAUUUCUACGGGGCCAAGCAAUAAUAAGGAAAUUGGAAGUCAAGGACUAUCUUCCGAAUGGAGAAGAAGCUCCAUCAACCACAGAAGGAAAUUAUGAUCACUCCUGCCAUCCUGCUCCUUUGUGUAUCCAGGAUGAAGGGGAGAAUUGGAGUCUUGCACAAUGAAAGGACAACAUUGCUGCCAAAACAAUCCAUCGUGACUGUAGACAUAUUUUCCACCCUCAUCCUGCAGGUUUUCUGCCAGUUGUUGGCCCCUCACCAAUUUUGCUCCUGGGCAGUCUGAGGUGGAACAUAAUUUUGUAUAAAACAAAUUAUGCUCAACCUCACUUAUAAUCAGGGAAAUGUGAGUCAAAACCACAAUAAAAUAUCACCUCAUGCUGUUUAGGAUUGCUGUUAUCAAGUAGACAAGAAAGAAGUGUUGGUGAGGGUAAGGAGAAAAUAAAAUCUUUGCACACUGUUGGUGGGAAUGUAAGUUGGUAAAGCCACUAUCAAAGGCAAUAUGAAGGAUUCUCAAAAAAUUAAAAAUAAAAUUGCCAAAUGA
Long non-coding RNA from Homo sapiens (human), 812 nucleotides. NCBI's taxonomy places the organism in Eukaryota, Metazoa, Chordata, Mammalia, Primates, Hominidae. The record is from Ensembl.